ACGCUGGCGGCGUGCCUAAUACAUGCAAGUCGAACGCACAGCGAAAGGUGCUUGCACCUUUCAAGUGAGUGGCGAACGGGUGAGUAACACGUGGACAACCUGCCUCAAGGCUGGGGAUAACAUUUGGAAACAGAUGCUAAUACCGAAUAAAACUUAGUGUCGCAUGACACAAAGUUAAAAGGCGCUUCGGCGUCACCUAGAGAUGGAUCCGCGGUGCAUUAGUUAGUUGGUGGGGUAAAGGCCUACCAAGACAAUGAUGCAUAGCCGAGUUGAGAGACUGAUCGGCCACAUUGGGACUGAGACACGGCCCAAACUCCUACGGGAGGCUGCAGUAGGGAAUCUUCCACAAUGGGCGAAAGCCUGAUGGAGCAACGCCGCGUGUGUGAUGAAGGCUUUCGGGUCGUAAAGCACUGUUGUAUGGGAAGAACAGCUAGAAUAGGAAAUGAUUUUAGUUUGACGGUACCAUACCAGAAAGGGACGGCUAAAUACGUGCCAGCAGCCGCGGUAAUACGUAUGUCCCGAGCGUUAUCCGGAUUUAUUGGGCGUAAAGCGAGCGCAGACGGUUUAUUAAGUCUGAUGUGAAAGCCCGGAGCUCAACUCCGGAAUGGCAUUGGAAACUGGUUAACUUGAGUGCAGUAGAGGUAAGUGGAACUCCAUGUGUAGCGGUGGAAUGCGUAAAUAUAUGGAAGAACACCAGUGGCGAAGGCGGCUUACUGGACUGCAACUGACGUUGAGGCUCGAAAGUGUGGGUAGCAAAACAGGAUUAGAUACCCUGGUAGUCCACACCGUAAACGAUGAAACACUAGGUGUUAGGAGGUUUCCGCCUCUUAGUGCCGAAGCUAACGCAUUAAGUGUUCCGCCUGGGGAGUACGACCGCAAGGUUGAAACUCAAAGGAAUUGACGGGGACCCGCACAAGCGGUGGAGCAUGUGGUUUAAUUCGAAGCAACGCGAAGAACCUUACCAGGUCUUGACAUCCUUUGAAGCUUUUAGAGAUAGAAGUGUUCUCUUCGGAGACAAAGUGACAGGUGGUGCAUGGUCGUCGUCAGCUCGUGUCGUGAGAUGUUGGGUUAAGUCCCGCAACGAGCGCAACCCUUAUUGUUAGUUGCCAGCAUUCAGAUGGGCACUCUAGCGAGACUGCCGGUGACAAACCGGAGGAAGGCGGGGACGACGUCAGAUCAUCAUGCCCCUUAUGACCUGGGCUACACACGUGCUACAAUGGCGUAUACAACGAGUUGCCAACCCGCGAGGGUGAGCUAAUCUCUUAAAGUACGUCUCAGUUCGGAUUGUAGUCUGCAACUCGACUACAUGAAGUCGGAAUCGCUAGUAAUCGCGGAUCAGCACGCCGCGGUGAAUACGUUCCCGGGUCUUGUACACACCGCCCGUCACACCAUGGGAGUUUGUAAUGCCCAAAGCCGGUGGCCUAACCUUUUAGGAAGGAGCCGUCUAAGGCAGGACAGAUGACUGGGGUGAAGUCG
RNAcentral lists this ribosomal RNA (1476 nucleotides) under Leuconostoc mesenteroides. RNAcentral's name for it is "bacterial SSU rRNA". It matches the Rfam family "Bacterial small subunit ribosomal RNA". Lineage: Bacteria; Bacillati; Bacillota; Bacilli; Lactobacillales; Lactobacillaceae. The record is from RNAcentral.